This 252-nucleotide ribosomal RNA is filed under the name uncultured bacterium. RNAcentral describes it as "partial 16S ribosomal RNA". It matches the Rfam family "Bacterial small subunit ribosomal RNA", at positions 524 to 776 of the family's 1533-position model. The record is from RNAcentral.
UACGGAGGAUGCGAGCGUUAUCCGGAUUUAUUGGGUUUAAAGGGCGCGUAGGCGGGAUGCCAAGUCAGCGGUAAAAAUGCGGUGCUCAACGCCGUCGAGCCGUUGAAACUGGCGUUCUUGAGUGGGCGAGAAGUAUGCGGAAUGCGUGGUGUAGCGGUGAAAUGCAUAGAUAUCACGCAGAACUCCGAUUGCGAAGGCGGCAUACCGGCGCCCUACUGACGCUGAGGCACGAAAGCGUGGGUAUCGAACAGG